GGAAAGACAAGCCUUCCUAGUUGGCCUCCAUGACAACACUUCCAAGAGCCUCCAGAGAAAGCAGCCUGUCCCAGCCAGGGCGGUGCUGGGUGUUGGAAGUCCUCGGGCUGCGUGUGCCGGAGGAAGCUCACGGGUGUCUGCUUUCUGCCGGAGGAAGCCGGGCAGUUUGUUCUGGAAGGAGCUUCUCUAGCUACAUGAUCAGCACUUCUGUCUCCAUAUCUCAGCUCUUAGUGACCCUUGGCUCUGCUGGGUUCAGCCCGCGUCCAUUCUUCCCUCUCGCCGAAGAGAACGGAGCACCUGUUCUGUGCAGACUUGUGCUUUGCCCCCGAAGCUGCAAAGUCGUUCAGGACCAGAGUCCAGGGAGCCUUGGGUCUGCGCAGGAUGCUGACUGGCGGUUUGAUGCGCAGGCAGGAUCACAAGCCUGGGCCGAAGACUGGGUCGCCCCCUCCCCCAUCACCACGCCUUCAUCCUCUGGCUCCUAGACCUAUUUCUGCGGUCAAGUCUCCACAGGACCGCCCCGAGGCCACGGGAGCUCAAGAAUACACUGCAUUUUUCUCAUUUUAAUGAAGGUACAAAGGGUACUUGGGAAGGAAGCGCGCCAAGAAAUCAUGCCCUUUCAGGUACAUUCUUGGCCGCUGGGUUGGGGAUUGCGUAGGUGUUGUUUUAUUCUAUUUUAUUUUUUCACGGAGGGGAGGGAGAACUGCUUUAUCUCUUUGACUCAGGCCUGAGGAAUGCCACCUCCUGACCGCCCGCCCACCGCCUGACCCUGACCCUGACCCGUGGAGCCCUCAGCCCUGCUGGUGAUGACAAGGAGCCUGGCUAGGCACUAGGCUGCAGGGGGAGCGGGGAGGAGUGAAGCCCAUCAGCGCAGAGGGAGGGAUGAGCUAAGAAGCUGAGGCCAGGAGCCAGGGGUCUGGAGGCCCCAAGUGGCAGACCCCCGGGAGGAGGAGACAGUGGGCUGGGCAGAUCUGUGGCUCUCUCUUCUGCCCAAGGACAAACCUUGGCCUCCCCGUCCAGGAGUCCCCCCGUCCCGGUUCUAACCUUGACACAUGGAGUGACUUAGGAGAAGUCACUUGCCUCCCCGAGUCAGGGCGUCCUCUGCUCGAAAAACGAGGCUGGUAACAUCUGUGACCUCACGGUGCGUCGUGAGACCCGGUGACUGACUCAUUCUUAGGUGUGUUGGGCUCUCGGAGAGCCUGGGUCGGGCAGCUCACCUGGCCUGGGACACGGCUGCUAAGGAAGGGGACGUUUCCCUGUGUGCCUAGCUCCAUCCCUCGUGGCUGCCCAUGACCUUGGCAGGGCCCUCCGCUUCUGCAGGUCUCCUUGCCUAUUAAAUGGUAAUGAGGGCCAAAACAGCAUGUGCCUCAAUGGAAGGUCGUGAGGUUCCAUGGUGUCCAUAAAAGGCUCUGAGGUCCCAGGAGAAAGGCGCCAAGGAGCUACAAGGUGUUAUUAGAGGUAAUUGGGUCAGCAGUGGGGUGCACCUUCAAAGUGGCCUGACUCCGGUUCCCUCCCAGUCUCUUCUCUCUGUCCUCCUCGAUGCUGUGUCCCCCUUUUUACCCCCCACCAUCCCUUUCUCAUCCUUGUCUGGCCCUCAAGUUACUCUCACUCUUUCCCUGUAACAAGCAUUCUGCCUCAAAAUGAGGGGACCUCAGACAUCUAGAACUUGCAAAGCCCUGGGAAGCACCAUCUAAACAUCAAGCUAGAGAAGUAAAGGUUGUCCAUUCAUCCAUCCAUCAAACAUCCACCCACCCAACCAAUCACACAUCCAUCCAUCCAAGAUCCAUCCAUCCACCCAACCAACCAAACAUCCAUCCAUCCAUCUACCCAACCAACCAAACAUCCAUCCAUUCACUCAACCAACCAAACAUCCAUCCAUCAAAGAUCCAGCCAGCCAGCCAACCAACCAAUCACACAUCCAUCCAUCCAUUCACUCAACCAACCAAUCACACAUCCAUCCAUCCAUCUACCCAAACAAACAGUCAGCCAGCCAGCCAGCCAGCCACCUAGUCUUCUACCCACCCAUUUAACUAACCAACCACGAAUCCAUCCAUCUUUCUAUCCAUUCACCCAUCCAUCAACUCACCCACACAACCAGCCAAUCACCUUCUAUCCAUGCAUCCAUCCACCCACUCACUUAACCAUCCAUCCAUCCACCCAUUUACCCACUCGCCCACCCAACCAAGUGCCCAUUUACACACACACACACACACACACACACACACCCCUAAUCCUACCAUCCAUCUUUCAAACCUCGCACCCACACCCAGUGCUGACCCAGUCAGGCCCAUAUUAGGUGCUGAGCUACCCAGAUGAACUCAGACCUGCCCCCCACCCCCCCUGCCCCCCAUUCCCAGUCAAGCUGCAGAGCCCAGGACUCACCUGGCCCAGGAGGGUGCAUGUGAGACAGCACCCCGCUUCCCCAGGACCCCUGUGUCCUGUCCUGUCUGUUCACCCCGACAGGAGUUUCUUCCCUCUCUUCACUCUGACCCACACUCCACUCACUCCUCUGCAGGCAUAGGGGUGUCAGAGGGCAGCAUGUGGCGGGGGGGGGUGUGACACCCCAGGGGCCUUCUCCCCACCUCUGAUUCCUGAGUUUUCUCUGCAGAGAAGAUGGUGCCCACAGCCACGUGUAGGCCCAGGAGAAAGACUCCAAAGUGAGGGCAGUUUCUGGAGAAAAAUCAAAGCAGGGGGACCCAGCAGAAGGCCCUGGCAGCUUCUGGCUCCUCUACCUGCUCUGGACACUCCUGAGAGCCCAAGGAGCAGCCCAGGGACCAUCGGCUUCAGAAGCCCCCACCCGGAGCUUGUUCUCGCACAUUCCUGGGCCGGCCCCUCUCCAGUGAGGCUCUGAGGGCACUCAGGUGGCUGUGCGUGAACAUAUCCCGGGGGUCUGUGGCCUGGCGGUUGAGAACCAUGGCC
Molecule: long non-coding RNA, 2916 nt
Filed under: Sus scrofa (pig)
Lineage: Eukaryota; Metazoa; Chordata; Mammalia; Artiodactyla; Suidae
Description: lncRNA (ENSSSCG00060026828.1)
Source: RNAcentral